AUCAGCUGCCCCGGACCUCCAUGACCUCCAGACGAGUCAUGAAGCUGCUCCUCCUGCUGGCAGUUGCUGCCAGCCAGAUGGAGCUCUCUGCCUCUCAGAGAGGUACUCUGAAUGCUCCUGGUGGACACAUCGAC
This is a long non-coding RNA of Trematomus bernacchii (emerald rockcod), 134 nucleotides long. RefSeq lists it as uncharacterized. The record is from RefSeq and is a predicted model, not a curated record. The transcript has 3 exons. NCBI's taxonomy places the organism in Eukaryota, Metazoa, Chordata, Actinopteri, Perciformes, Nototheniidae.